GAAAUGCGAUACUUGGUGUGAAUUGCAGAAUCCCGUGAACCAUCGAGUCUUUGAACGCAAGUUGCGCCCGAAGCCAUUACGCUAAGGGCACGUCUGCCUGGGCGUCACGU
This 110-nucleotide ribosomal RNA is filed under the name Aucuba chinensis. RNAcentral describes it as "partial 5.8S ribosomal RNA". It matches the Rfam family "5.8S ribosomal RNA", at positions 50 to 154 of the family's 154-position model. Rfam says of the family: 5.8S ribosomal RNA (5.8S rRNA) is a component of the large subunit of the eukaryotic ribosome. It is transcribed by RNA polymerase I as part of the 45S precursor that also contains 18S and 28S rRNA. Lineage: Eukaryota; Viridiplantae; Streptophyta; Magnoliopsida; Garryales; Garryaceae. The record is from RNAcentral.